UGCAGUAGAACGCUGAAGAGAGGAGCUUGCUCUUCUUGGAUGAGUUGCGAACGGGUGAGUAACGCGUAGGUAACCUGCCUUGUAGCGGGGGAUAACUAUUGGAAACGAUAGCUAAUACCGCAUAACAAUGGAUGACACAUGUCAUUUAUUUGAAAGGGGCAAUUGCUCCACUACAAGAUGGACCUGCGUUGUAUUAGCUAGUAGGUGAGGUAACGGCUCACCUAGGCGACGAUACAUAGCCGACCUGAGAGGGUGAUCGGCCACACUGGGACUGAGACACGGCCCAGACUCCUACGGGAGGCAGCAGUAGGGAAUCUUCGGCAAUGGGGGCAACCCUGACCGAGCAACGCCGCGUGAGUGAAGAAGGUUUUCGGAUCGUAAAGCUCUGUUGUAAGUCAAGAACGAGUGUGAGAGUGGAAAGUUCACACUGUGACGGUAGCUUACCAGAAAGGGACGGCUAACUACGUGCCAGCAGCCGCGGUAAUACGUAGGUCCCGAGCGUUGUCCGGAUUUAUUGGGCGUAAAGCGAGCGCAGGCGGUUUGAUAAGUCUGAAGUUAAAGGCUGUGGCUCAACCAUAGUUCGCUUUGGAAACUGUCAAACUUGAGUGCAGAAGGGGAGAGUGGAAUUCCAUGUGUAGCGGUGAAAUGCGUAGAUAUAUGGAGGAACACCGGUGGCGAAAGCGGCUCUCUGGUCUGUAACUGACGCUGAGGCUCGAAAGCGUGGGGAGCGAACAGGAUUAGAUACCCUGGUAGUCCACGCCGUAAACGAUGAGUGCUAGGUGUUGGAUCCUUUCCGGGAUUCAGUGCCGCAGCUAACGCAUUAAGCACUCCGCCUGGGGAGUACGACCGCAAGGUUGAAACUCAAAGGAAUUGACGGGGGCCCGCACAAGCGGUGGAGCAUGUGGUUUAAUUCGAAGCAACGCGAAGAACCUUACCAGGUCUUGACAUCCCGAUGCUAUUUCUAGAGAUAGAAAGUUACUUCGGUACAUCGGUGACAGUGGUGCAUGGUUGUCGUCAGCUCGUGUCGUGAGAUGUUGGGUUAAUCCCGCA
This 1050-nucleotide ribosomal RNA is filed under the name Streptococcus salivarius. RNAcentral's name for it is "bacterial SSU rRNA". It matches the Rfam family "Bacterial small subunit ribosomal RNA", at positions 56 to 1091 of the family's 1533-position model. Lineage: Bacteria; Bacillati; Bacillota; Bacilli; Lactobacillales; Streptococcaceae. The record is from RNAcentral.